Molecule: ribosomal RNA, 453 nt
Filed under: uncultured Alphaproteobacteria bacterium
Lineage: Bacteria; Pseudomonadati; Pseudomonadota; Alphaproteobacteria
Description: bacterial SSU rRNA
Rfam family: Bacterial small subunit ribosomal RNA
Source: RNAcentral
GAGUUUGAUCCUGGCUCAGAACGAACGCUGGCGGCAGGCCUCAAACAUGCAAGUCUAGGGGGUGUAGCAAUACAUCACCGGCGGACGGGUGCGUAACGCGUGGGAAUAUACCUAUUGGUUCGGAACAACUGAGGGAAACUUCAGCUAAUACCGAAUGUGCCCUUACGGGGAAAGAUUUAUCGCCAAUGGAUUAGCCCGCGUAGGAUUAGCUAGUUGGUGGGGUAAUGGCCCACCAAGGCUCCGAUCCUUAGCUGUUCUGAGAGGAAGAUCAGCCACACUGGGACUGAGACACGGCCCAGACUCCUACGGGAGGCAGCAGUUGGGAAUCUUGGACAAUGGGGGAAACCCUGAUCCAGCCAUGCCGCGUGAGUGAUGAAGGCCUUCGGGUUGUAAACUCUUUCGACGGGGACGAUAAUAGGCGGUACCCGUAGAAGAAGCUCCGGCUAACUUCGU